UUAAUACAUUUUAGGGACUUGCAAUACAACUGGAAUUUGUUAUAAUAAGCAUCAAAAGUACUAAGAAGAAUUACCUUGUGUUGCAAGUGGUCCCGCCUUGAUGUAGUGACAUACUUCAGGAGUCCUGUCAGAAUUUAACCAGAUAAGUUUCUUCUGCUGCAGACACCUCCUCAUCUGACUGACCAGCUCUGAAAAAGGCUAGUCUCAAGACAAGGAUGGAGAAAAAUAAUACAACAGAAUUCUAUCAUGGAAAUGACAACAAGGAUGAUUACGAGUAUGACUACGAAUAUGACUACGAGGAUGACUACGAGUAUGACUAUGAGGCAUUUGUUAAGCUGAGACAGUCUCUUAACACCAUGUCUCUCACUGGUUACUGCCUGGCCUUCUUUCUUGGUGUGCUCGGUAAUGGAGUGGUUAUCUGGUUGGCCGGGUUCAAGAUGAAGAAAACAGUUAACACAGUUUGGUUCCUCAACCUCGCUGUGGCCGACUUCCUCCUCACAGCAUUCCUGCCUCUGAGUGUGACAUACACAGCCAUGGAUUUCCACUGGCCUUUUGGAAGCUUCAUGUGCAAACUGAACAACACCAUAAACUCUCUAAACAUGUUUGCCAGUGUCUACAUUGUGAUGGUGAUCAGUGUGGACAGAUGUGUGUCUGUGGUGUGGCCCGUCUGGGCCCAGAACCACCGAAAUGUACGCAAGGCAUCAUAUGUGUGUCUGGGUGUUUGGGUCCUGGCUCUGAUUCUCAGCACUCCAGACUUCAUCUUAAGGGACACCACGCCAUUAUAUUUUCCCGAAGAUAUCAUCAGAUGCUUCAACAGCUUCGCUCUGUCAGAUGAUUAUGAAACAGAAUCUGUGAAACAGUUACGAAGCUUUCGUCAUCAGGCCAUGAUCAUCACCCGCUUCAUCCUGGGAUUUAUUGUCCCCUUCACUGUCAUUGUCUCCUGCUAUGCUGUGAUAAUCCAUCAUCUGAGGAGGAACCGCACCCUGGCCAACCAGUCAAGUCGACCCUUUAAGAUCAUCGCUGCCAUCAUCACCACUUUUUUCCUGUGCUGGGCUCCUUUUCACAUCCUGACUCUAAUUGAGAUGGUUCAUCACACAACUGAACAUUUAAAUGAAACAUUAUCCGAUGUCACUACUAUUGGUGUCCCUAUAGCCACCAGCCUGGCGCUUCUCAACAUUUGCCUGAAUCCCCUGCUGUAUGUGUUCAUCGGCCAAGAUUUCAAGAAUAUAGUCUGCAAAUCCAUCCCGAGGGUUCUGGAGACUGCCUUCCAGGAGGAGGAGACACGCCCUCAUACCAACACAGAGUCACCGUUCACUAGUCGCAGUAAAGAGCAGUCUGUUAUUGAUGCUGAAGUAUAAGAAGAACAUGUUGACAGGAAGGAACAGAUUGACAAAGAUCAACUAUUACUCCACUGGUAGCUGGCCCUUCCUCCUGUGUUCCUGCCAGUCUGAUUGUCUUCCCCGCCCUGAUUGUUUUCACCUGUUCCCCAUUACCUAGUGUCUUUAUAUCAUCCUUUGUCCUGUGCCAGUUCGUCGUGUCGCUUGAUAGUAGGACCAGUAUGCUGUCUUUAAAGGUUAAAAAUAAUAUUAAAAUUCAUAAGUUAAAGUGUUAGAAAGGGUAAAAAUGUAAAAGAUGUAUUUUUCUUUAGUUCAUGAAAAUCCGCUCUGCCACCUUACUUCAGUGAACGAGCUAAGGCAGUAUAAUGUAGAGUCGUGCUCUUAAAGUUGGUAGAUUAUUAAAUUUUGAUUAUUAAAGAUAGAUUUUUUUUCUUUGUAAUACACUGCAGUGACUCCUCCAAUUACUGACUGUCAUACAGGAUUUAACCCCAAGGCGGAGCUGUUGACUAAGAGUCAUAACAAAACACCCUGUGAUAGAGCCAGCGAGUGAGCUGAACGAAGAAAAAACAUUAACCGGCUAACCAACUAAUCAAUCCAUCCAGCUUCAUCUGAGUAAAAGCAAGCGUGUGGGUGCAUUUCGGUUUUCAUAGCAGGAGUUUUAAACACAUCGACAGGACGUACGUUGUCUGCAAACUUUACUGCACUGUGGAAAUACUAGCAACGUGAGGGCUCCAGGUUCAAACCCCGGUCUGGGCUCUUCUGUGCGGAGUUUGCAUGUUCUCCCUGUGCCUGCGUGGGUUUUCUCCGGGUACUCCGGCUUCCUCCCACAAUCCCCAAAACAUGUACAUUAGGUUAACUGGCUA
Toxotes jaculatrix (banded archerfish) is the source of this 2200-nucleotide RNA transcript. It is a transcript of the gene named chemokine-like receptor 1, with no coding region annotated. Lineage: Eukaryota; Metazoa; Chordata; Actinopteri; Toxotidae. The record is from RefSeq and is a predicted model, not a curated record. The transcript has 4 exons.